RNAcentral lists this ribosomal RNA (406 nucleotides) under uncultured bacterium. RNAcentral describes it as "partial 16S ribosomal RNA". It matches the Rfam family "Bacterial small subunit ribosomal RNA", at positions 29 to 526 of the family's 1533-position model. The record is from RNAcentral.
AUUGAACGCUGGCGGCAGGCCUAACACAUGCAAGUCGAACGAGUGGCGGACGGGUGAGUAAUGUCUGGGAAACUGCCUGAUGGAGGGGGAUAACUACUGGAAACGGUAGCUAAUACCGCAUACCAUCGGAUGUGCCCAGAUGGGAUUAGCUAGUAGGUGGGGUAAAGGCUCACCUAGGCGACGAUCCCUAGCUGGUCUGAGAGGAUGACCAGCAACACGGGAACUGAGACACGGUCAAGACUCCUACGGGAGGCAGCAGUGGGGAAUAGGGGACAAUGGGCGCAAGCCUGAUGCAGCCAUGCCGCGUGUAGGAAGAAGGCCUGCGGGUUGUAAAGGACGUUAAGCGGGGAGGCGUUACCCGCAGAAGAAGCACCGGCUAACUCCGUGCCAGCAGCCGCGGUAAUUC